AGGAUGAACGCUGGCGGCGUGCCUAAUACAUGCAAGUCGAGCGGUAAGGCUACUUCGGUAGUACACGAGCGGCGGACGGCUGAGUAACACGUAGGAACGUACCCCAAAGUGAGGCAUAAGCACCAGAAAUGGUGUCUAAUACCGCAUGUGAUCUUCGGAUUAAAGCUUCGGCGCUUUGGGAACGGCCUGCGCAUGAUUAGCUUGUUGGUGAGGUAAUAGCUCACCAAGGCGACGAUCAUUAGCUGGUCUGAGAGGAUGACCAGCCAGACUGGGACUGAGAACGGCCAGACUCCUACGGGAGGCAGCAGUAGGGAAUUUUCCACAAUGGGCGAAAGCCUGAUGGAGCAACGCCGCGUGCAGGAUGAAGGCGUCUCGGGUCGUAAACUGCUUUUAUAUGUGAAGAUUAUGACGGUAGCAUAUGAAUAAGGAUCGGCUAACUCCGUGCCAGCAGCCGCGGU
This 458-nucleotide ribosomal RNA is filed under the name uncultured bacterium. Its description in RNAcentral is "SSU rRNA". It matches the Rfam family "Bacterial small subunit ribosomal RNA", at positions 26 to 521 of the family's 1533-position model. The record is from RNAcentral.